This 568-nucleotide long non-coding RNA is filed under the name Phasianus colchicus (ring-necked pheasant). RNAcentral describes it as "lncRNA (ENSPCLG00000005812.1)". The record is from RNAcentral. Lineage: Eukaryota; Metazoa; Chordata; Aves; Galliformes; Phasianidae.
AGGCGGGCGGGGCCGGGCCAGGCCGCGGCCUCGGGGACGGCUUCUCCCGCGCGCUGCUCACAGCGCGGGGUUUCCCCACAACAACCCCCGCCCCUGGGAAGCUGCGCUGUCGGGCGCCCUCAGUCCCUGGGCUCGGCCCUCUCCUGGGCCUGGCAUCCGCAUCGCGCCGCUCCCAGUUUUUCCACGUGCGGUGCCGUAACUCGUGUAACGUGAGCUGGAUAAAGAGCACAAUGUGGUUUUAAAGUUUGCCUGCAAUGGGGAGGAUGGAAGCAGCAGGAAGAGUCACAGUGGAAGGUCUAGAAGAUCACCUGUUCUUACCUGAGAAGAUCUCUGGAAGUUUCUGGAGUGACUUGUUGUGGGCUAAUCUCUUUCUGUCUGAACAACAAGGGAUCCAGUUAAAAAAUAUUAGCAGAUUCUUUUCAAUCCAGCAGAAGUUAUGAGGAGGGAAUUUCUGUUCACUUUGCUGGAGACAGAGAAUUACUGGAGUAAGAAAAAUGAAGUUGACAUACUGCGAUGCAUUAACAUGUAUGGAUUUCUGUGAUUAAAUAAAAUGAAAAAUUAAAGAGCC